Molecule: ribosomal RNA, 162 nt
Filed under: uncultured bacterium
Lineage: Bacteria
Description: partial 16S rRNA
Rfam family: Bacterial small subunit ribosomal RNA
Source: RNAcentral
UGGGGAAUAUUGCACAAUGGGCGCAAGCCUGAUGCAGCCAUGCCGCGUGUGUGAAGAAGGCCUUGGUUGUAAAGCACUUUCAGCGGGGAGGAAGGCGUUAAGGUUAAUAACCUUGGCGAUUGACGUUACCCGCAGAAGAAGCACCGGCUGACUCCGUGUCAG